Long non-coding RNA from Manis pentadactyla (Chinese pangolin), 1318 nucleotides. RefSeq lists it as uncharacterized. The transcript has 3 exons. Lineage: Eukaryota; Metazoa; Chordata; Mammalia; Pholidota; Manidae. The record is from RefSeq and is a predicted model, not a curated record.
UGCUCUAGCACUGAGCCUGCAGUAUUUCCAAAGUGUGUCUGUAUGUUAUUUGUAAACUUGCUUUGAAUGUCCACAAGACUGUCUCACGUUCUGUAAAAAUAAACAUUCCUGUCAUGGUAAUAAAUUACAGCUUUAACAAAGCCUAAGCAAAAACUACCUUUGAACACAUUUGACUGACUUAAUGUUCUAGGUUUUGUGUUAAAUAUUAAUUUUAUGUAAUCUCUGACACACUGUGAAGUCCAGCUCUGACUUUUUGUUUUGCCACCUGAGAUUUUCUAGUCUAACUGAUGGAGGUUUCCGAGGGGCUCCCAAGCCCGGGCUCUUCUUGCCUAGUGAGUCCUACACGCUGUCCUCUCAGUUGAUCCUGUACUGUGCUGGGCACGGGUGACCCACGAGGCAUAGGAUAUGACAGUACCUUGGCCCAGGAUGAACAGGUGUGUCAGCAGGUAAUAGUGGAAGGCUCAGAGCCAUGAUGAAGACAUGUUAUGAGGCUCAGGGGCAGAGGGCUGCAGCAAAGUCUUCUCAGAGGAGCAAGCAUCUUGGUUUGGUUCAAGUGGAAGCUCAUCACCAUGACAUGAAAGAACAAAGACUCUGGAAUCAGGUGGCUACAGUUUUGAAUCACUCAGGAUCCUAGGAGACGAAGGGGCUGAGAAAGGACGAGUGCUGACCUUCCAUGUUUCCUCCCUCACAUGCUGGCCCUUGCUUCUGCCUCAUAACAAUACAGCAGGAAAAUCACCAACCUUUACAGAGCAACCUUGGGAACAGGACUGAAAAAGAAACAUUCUGAACAUGCUCUGGGAGCAAAAAUGGACUCAGUAUUCAAGUUCCCAUCAGUGGGAUUUUACCAAAUAAAUUCAGUGCUGGUAUUGAUCAGUUUAUCUGGUUUAAGGGGUGAAACCCAGCUGAGUGUAGUACAGGAUGCAAGUACUAGAACUACAUGGGGAUCUCCCAGGACCCAGGGCAGGGGCGACACUGAGAAAGGGGCCUGGAAGUGGGCAGGCUCUCUCCUUUCCUCCCUUCCACCCCUGGCUCUCUCACCUCCAGCUCAACGUGGAGACGUUUACAGUUUCCAGCAUUUCUCUGAAAACCAGCCCUCUCUGCUCACUUGUUGGUGUGGUGGUUGCAAAUGGGCAUUGCAGGAAAGCAUCUCAUUCCGAGCAUCCUUACACCCCACAGAGGGUCAGAUGCAUAGAAGUUCCUUUAAUUAAUCUUUAUUAACUAGCCCCUUGAUGAAACUGAAUAAAUAUGGUAUCUAGAGCUCACUAAAUAUUCUUUGGCUUAAACUUCACAUUCCCUGGAGGGAGAAAUUAAGCAGCCA